Biomphalaria glabrata is the source of this 669-nucleotide long non-coding RNA. RefSeq lists it as uncharacterized. The transcript has 3 exons. NCBI's taxonomy places the organism in Eukaryota, Metazoa, Mollusca, Gastropoda, Planorbidae. The record is from RefSeq and is a predicted model, not a curated record.
CACCUAAGAAUGAAAAAUACUAUAAGAUACAAUUUCACAUUACAUCUAGAAAAGGAUAGCUAUAUUUAACUUGAUCUAGUAGAAGAUGUACAACUAUCAUACCCAUAUAAUGUAGAUUAACAAACUGAUUCAAGAUAAAUACUAUUAAGCCAAUCCUACACCCAUACUACUUGUAUACAUAAAAUUGGGUGGAUCUAGAAUUUUAGAUCUAGAUAGACUAGAUUCUUAUUAAAAUUCUAGAUCUUUUCUAUUAAGUAAUAAAAAUCUUUAAAAUGUAUUUUAAUAUGGAUGAAGUUUAACAGAAAUGAUUGGAAAAUAGUCGAUGCCAACGCAGAGGCUCUUGUUCUCGUAUGAGCCAUAGUUGUCUAUUGACUGAAGGUGGUGGAGAUAAUUCAACAAGAUGAUUUACAAUGUAAUUCAAGAGAUCUGUCUAGUCUGUUGGACUGUUAAGGCACCACACAAGGUUUGUCGACCAUUCUUUUCCUCACCGUCUUUUGAAUGACUAAUUCCUGAGAAUAGUAAACCGUUAUUGUUAAAGAAUAUACAGCCAAGAUCUUGCAGCGGACAGUAGAAAAUGGCAGUUUGAACUUCAGAUCAUUGUGUCAACCGUCUCGUGCAAACCACAAAACCAGGCAGUGUAAUCAAGAUCUACCUAAGAAUGAAAAAUAC